UCCGUUGUAGCAAUACGAUGGAAAGUCUAGUGGCGAACGGGUGCUUAACACGUGGGCAACCUGCCGAGAAGUGGGGGAUAGCUCGCCGAAAGGCGAAUUAAUACCGCAUGUGAUUAGAGUGGACAUCCAUUCGAAAUUAAAGUCGGGGCAACCUGACGCUUCUUGUGGGGCCCGCGGCCUAUCAGCUAGUUGGUGAGGUAACGGCUCACCAAGGCUUUGACGGGUAGCUGGUCUGAGGGGACGACCAGCCACACUGGGACUGAGACACGGCCCAGACACCUACGGGUGGCAGCAGUCGAGAAUUUUUGACAAUGGGGGAAACCCUGAUCGAGCGACGCCGCGUGGAGGAUGAAGGUCUUCGGAUUGUAAACUCCUGUCAUUGGGGAACAAUGCGUGACGCUUAACUGCCGUUGCGUUGAUAGUACCCGAAGAGGAAGAGACGGCUAACUCUGUGCCAGCAGCCGCGGUAAUACAGAGGUCUCAAGCGUUGUCCGGAUUCAUUGGGCGUAAAGGGUGCGUAGGCGGCGCGGUAAGUCGGGUGUGAAAUCUCGGAGCUUAACUCCGAAACUGCAUUCGAUACUGCCGUGCUUGAGGACUGGAGAGGAGACUGGAAUUCUCGGUGUAGCA
Molecule: ribosomal RNA, 627 nt
Filed under: uncultured Verrucomicrobiota bacterium
Lineage: Bacteria; Pseudomonadati; Verrucomicrobiota
Description: bacterial SSU rRNA
Rfam family: Bacterial small subunit ribosomal RNA
Source: RNAcentral